Molecule: ribosomal RNA, 504 nt
Filed under: Theileria velifera
Lineage: Eukaryota; Apicomplexa; Aconoidasida; Piroplasmida; Theileriidae
Description: SSU rRNA
Rfam family: Eukaryotic small subunit ribosomal RNA
Source: RNAcentral
CUCCAAUAGCGUAUAUUAAAAUUGUUGCAGUUAAAAAGCUCGUAGUUGAAUUUCUGCUACAUUGCCUAUUCUCCUUUACGAGUUUGGGUCUUUUGUGGCUUAUCUGGGUUCGCUUGCGUUCCCGGUGUUUUACUUUGAGAAAAUUAGAGUGCUCAAAGCAGGCUUUUGCCUUGAAUAGUUUAGCAUGGAAUAAUAAAGUAGGACUUUGGUUCUAUUUUGUUGGUUUUAGGUACCAAAGUAAUGGUUAAUAGGAACAGUUGGGGGCAUUCGUAUUUAACUGUCAGAGGUGAAAUUCUUAGAUUUGUUAAAGACGAACUACUGCGAAAGCAUUUGCCAAGGAUGUUUUCAUUAAUCAAGAACGAAAGUUAGGGGAUCGAAGACGAUCAGAUACCGUCGUAGUCCUAACCAUAAACUAUGCCGACUAGAGAUUGGAGGUCGUCAGUUUUUACGACUCCUUCAGCACCUUGAGAGAAAUCAAAGUCUUUGGGUUCUGGGGGGAGUAUG